Molecule: ribosomal RNA, 381 nt
Filed under: Triticum aestivum (bread wheat)
Lineage: Eukaryota; Viridiplantae; Streptophyta; Magnoliopsida; Poales; Poaceae
Description: partial small subunit ribosomal RNA
Source: RNAcentral
CUAGAACGACUCCUCCACACUAAACCCGACUACAAAUCUCUUCGAGUCUUCGUGUGUGCAUGUUGGCCCAAUCUUCGCCCAUACAACAAAUGCAAGCUUAUGUUUCAUUCAAAACAGUGUGUUUUUCUAGGAUAUAGCGCCCAACACAAAGGUGUCAAAUGCCUCGAUGUCUCCACUGGUUGCGUCUAUAUCUCCAGGGAUGUCGUGUUUGAUGAAACAAAGUUUCCCUUUGCUGAUCUCCACCCAAAUGUCGGCGCCCUUCUUCGUAAGGAAAUUCUCCUCCUACCUUCUCAUCUCUCCGGCCUUGAUCAAGGGGGACUAAACAAUGAUGAUCAACUGUUGACACAUCCUCUUACUAAUGGCACACUUGAGUUUUGUGAU